GCGACCGGCGUACCGCGGCCGCGCCGGCCGCUCGGGCCGGCCGGUUCGGUGCCGGCCGGUUCGGUGCCGGUCGGUCCGG
Molecule: transfer RNA, 79 nt
Filed under: Actinocatenispora comari
Lineage: Bacteria; Bacillati; Actinomycetota; Actinomycetes; Micromonosporales; Micromonosporaceae
Description: tRNA-Pro
Source: RNAcentral